GAUAUAGACAAGAAGGACAUGGGACUGUAUGCGGAUUAUUGUCGGCUUUUGAGGGGCAUAAGCUGAAGUCUGAUGGGCAGGAUAAUGACUGAAGGGUUUGUUGCUGACCUCACAGCUGAAAUAAGAGACAGAAAGACAGGUGGCAGGAGAUAAAAAGAGACUGAAGAAAAAAAUGAGGCAAAAACAAGACGAUUUCUGUCAGGUCAGGUCCUGUGUUCCCAGGAUGGAGGUUGUUUUUUCCUGCUGAUUAACAAUGACAGACCAUGUGGUAUUUUACAGGAAUAUGUCUGUCUGUCUGUCUGUCGACAUCAUAGGCAACCAGAACAGGUCAUACACAUAAUGUUGAUGUCAGCCGGCUGUUACCACAAACUACACUUGCUUCUUACAGAUAUUUUUGUGAAAUGCAAAUUUUGCCUUGCAAUGGUCAAAUGCAUACAGCAUUUCAAUAAACACAAUAUGAAGGUGCUUUGGAAACAGCCAAAACGCGUAUGAAGAGGGAGAGAGAAAGAGUAACAACCUGCAGAAGUGCACUUUAUCUCACGAGGAAACAUCUGUGCAUCAGAUGACAGGUCCGGUGGAAUGGCUGUUGUUCUUCAAGAGAAGUCAUGGAGGCAAGCCCAAGAGUACUGGAGACGGAAUGAUAAUAACUUGGCCAGUGUGAGGAGCCAGACUGAUAAUCAGGCAUUACAGCAAAUGGUUAAUGGAAAUGUGCCAUCGCUGUCCUUGGACUGGAUCGCUUUGUUCAGAGAUGAGUGGGAAUGGUCGGACCAGAGUGACAGUUCCUUCAGAGACUGGGAGGGCUCUCAGCCAAAGGAUGGACACUGCAGUGUAGGCCCUCUGCCAAGAAGUGGUUUGACAGAGACUCUCCCUUCUCCUGCUGUAACUAUCCAACAAAAAUAUGAGGGGGCCAAGCUUCAGUGGAGAGUCCAGCCAGAUG
This is a long non-coding RNA of Perca fluviatilis (European perch), 937 nucleotides long. RefSeq lists it as uncharacterized. The record is from RefSeq and is a predicted model, not a curated record. NCBI's taxonomy places the organism in Eukaryota, Metazoa, Chordata, Actinopteri, Perciformes, Percidae. The transcript has 3 exons.